RNAcentral lists this unclassified non-coding RNA (253 nucleotides) under uncultured Oligoflexaceae bacterium. RNAcentral describes it as "contains 16S-23S intergenic spacer region". It matches the Rfam family "Bacterial small subunit ribosomal RNA", at positions 524 to 776 of the family's 1533-position model. The record is from RNAcentral. Lineage: Bacteria; Pseudomonadati; Bdellovibrionota; Oligoflexia; Oligoflexales; Oligoflexaceae.
UACGAAGGGUGCAAGCGUUGUUCGGAAUUACUGGGCGUAAAGCGCGCGUAGGCGGAUUUGUAAGUCGGAUGUGAAAUCCCCAGGCUUAACCUGGGAAUUGCAUCCGAAACUGCAGACCUUGAAUGCUUGAGAGGAUGACGGAAUUCCUGGUGUAGAAGUGAAAUUCGUAGAUAUCAGGAGGAACACCGGAGGCGAAGGCGGUUGUCUGGCGAUGCAUUGACGCUGAGGCGCGAAAGCGUGGGUAGCAAACAGG